Molecule: long non-coding RNA, 501 nt
Organism: Neogale vison (American mink)
Lineage: Eukaryota; Metazoa; Chordata; Mammalia; Carnivora; Mustelidae
Exons: 2
Source: RefSeq, a predicted model, not a curated record
UUCAAACCAAUGGACAAAUAAAAGAAGAAAACAAAAGUAAUCCAAAUUCUGCUACUCAGAGGUGGCUUGUAAGAUCUGGUGUCACCUUGUGGACAACACUUUGAGGAGCCCUGCUCUAGGAUUUCUCUAAUCUGCUCUGAUAAUCCCUUCCAUCUCCUCCACUCCACAUUCUGUUCUCUCCAGCCUGUGCUAAAUGCCUCUUUUGUGUUAAAAUACCCCAUUACAUUAAGCUGUGCUCUUCCUAAGGGAGACAGUUGGAAUCUUAUCUUUCCAUGCCCAACAUCUACCACAGUGCUUGGCAAGAAGUUUGUUAGGCUGCUCUAUUCAUUCUUUAUGGAGAUUGGAAGAGAUUUACAAAGUUUUAGUUAUGUUUUUUUGGGGGAGGAUGAGAUUGUGGGGGCUUUCCUUGUAGUCUUCAGUAUUUCCUAAAUUUUCUCUGACACACAUGUAGUACUUUUGAAACGGGAAAAUUAAAGCAUUAUUUUGACAAUUGAUAUGGAA